Molecule: ribosomal RNA, 500 nt
Filed under: uncultured bacterium
Lineage: Bacteria
Description: bacterial SSU rRNA
Rfam family: Bacterial small subunit ribosomal RNA
Source: RNAcentral
AACGAACGCUGGCGGCGCGCCUAAUACAUGCAAGUCGAGCGAGAAGGUGUAGCAAUACACUUGUAAAGCGGCGAACGGGUGAGGAAUGCAUGGGUAACCUACCCUCGAGUGGGGAAUAACUAGCCGAAAGGUUAGCUAAUACCGCAUACGUUUCCGGAACUUCGGUUUCGGAAAGAAAGCAAUACCGUGGGUAUUGCGCUCCUGGAUGGGCUCAUGUCCUAUCAGCUUGUUGGUGAGGUAACGGCUCACCAAGGCUUCGACGGGUAGCUGGUCUGAGAGGACGAUCAGCCACACUGGCACUGCGACACGGGCCAGACUCCUACGGGAGGCAGCAGUAAGGAUAUUGCGCAAUGGACGAAAGUCUGACGCAGCGACGCCGCGUGGGGGAUGAAGGUCUUCGGAUUGUAAACCCCUUUCGGGAGGGAAGAUGGAGUGGGUAACCACUUGGACGGUACCUCCAGAAGCAGCCACGGCUAACUUCGUGCCAGCAGCCGCGGUAA